AUGUCAGGGGACUCACCCAGAUGCUGGCCAAGAUGUCUCGAUGUCCCAGACGUUGUCUUUCUCCUGCCUCAAAAUAAUUCCUUGGAGCAGCAAAAUUCAAGCUGGUGUGGGCUGGAGGAAGACAGGAACACCCUUGAGGCGAAGGUGGCCUCCCCACCCUCUAGGGCGGCCCUUCCUCUUCCCUCCUCUACCGCCUUGGUGUCCCCACUGCCUGCUUGGUGGACCGAGUAUGACUGGGGCUCAGCCUUCUUGACACGGGUCCUCGGGGAUCAGGCCUCUGAAGGAAUCUUCCCAGCGUUCCAACCUUCUGGAAAGAGGCUGCGUGGAGGAAAAAUCUAGAGAGUGUGAUGGAGCCAGGGGACACCCAGGGGGGGUUACCCCUAAGCCAACCCCACACGGGACUCCAAAUUUGUUACCCAAAUUCGGCCUCUGCACACCAAGGCGGAGUGGAGUCUGUAAGAAAGAAGUUUGGGUGAAGUAGAAAGAAAGAGCUUUACUGCUUUGCUAGGAAAAAUGGGCCACAUUGGCCUAGUGCCCCCAGAGCCGUGAGUGCCAGCCUGGAGUGGGUAUGUGGAGUCUUUAGUGUUUAUGGAGCCCUGGCUGGUGUUGAGGCAGUGGGGAGGCCGCAGCAUCAACCUUCUUGUUCCAGCCAGUCUGGGGUCUACCUGCUGUGGACAGCAGUUCACUUGUUCAGCCUGGUGGGGGUUUCGGUAACUGCAAAAUAGCUCACACAUAAGGCACAGAACAUUACCAAGAGACCUUGAGGAAGAAAAGUCCUUGACUUUGUGUGAUGGCUCCAGUAUUAUUAUUUUGUCUUGUUUGACAUUUUCCCCUUCAGGAUUUUCUCACUGCUCUGAUGAAAUUUAUUCUUUGUUUUCCCCCAUCCUCGCCAGAACGCAUGAGGGAUCUUUGUUCCCCGACCUGGAUCCUACCUUCAGCCCAUGAAUUUGACUGGUGGAGUCUUAGCCACCAGACCACCAUGGAAGCCCCUAAAUGGAUUAUUUGGUGAAAGAUUUCCUACAGACAAAAGGCUGGUGGAGGACUUGACUGGGGUUUCUUCUGGGAAAGCCUCAGUGGGUCCUGCUUGGUUACAAUCUGGCCCUUCCCUGGUCUGCCCCUGCCUGGCGUCUCAGCCCUCCAGGAGAAGGAAGUCGGCACAGAAACAGGCAGGAGGCCACAGGAGAGUUCAGAUGCUCUUUAUUUCUUUAGGGAGAAGUGUACACGUUGUCAGGGUGGCUGAGCGGUAAAGAAUAUGCCUGCAGUGCAGCACAUGACGGGCACUUGAGUCUGGUCUCUGGAUGCGUAAGAUCCCCUGGAGUAGGAAAUGGCACGCCACUACAGUAUUUUUGCCUGGAAACCCCAUGGGCAUUGGAGCCUGGGGGGCCACAGUCCAAAGGGUCGCAAAGAACCACUGAACAGGCACACAGGCAGGAAGGUAACAUUCGUGCGGUGCCGGUAACAGCAAACUUUCGGUUUCUAUAUUUGUCCUGGUUCUUACAGUGGAGGAACCAAUACAGGAAGGCAAGCUGGUAAUCUUUGUCUCCUGAACACUGUUACCAUCAUAUCAGUGAUGUCUCUCCAGGUUCAAAUCAGUCUUGUUGGUUAGGCAGGCACAUUUGGAAUGUGUAAAUCAUAAAUCUUGAUCACAAAGAUCCCACAAAAAUAAAUCUUUUAACAUAAAAACGUGUAAGAUUUCG
This 1697-nucleotide long non-coding RNA is filed under the name Bos indicus x Bos taurus (hybrid cattle). RNAcentral describes it as "lncRNA (ENSBIXG00005017802.1)". Lineage: Eukaryota; Metazoa; Chordata; Mammalia; Artiodactyla; Bovidae. The record is from RNAcentral.